CUAAGGAUAUGGUACUUUGGUACCAACGGAAUACACAAUCGUUAAAACUUUGUUUAGUUUUGAGAGGUCUACCUGGCGCUUUCGGGCCUAUAGCUCAGCUGGUUUAGAGCGCACGCCUGAUAAGCGUGAGGUCGAUGGUUCAAGUCCAUUUAGGCCCAUUCUCUGCAAAACUUAAUAGUAACAUGGGGGUUUAGCUCAGCUGGGAGAGCACCUGCUUUGCAAGCAGGAGGUCAUCGGUUCGAUCCCGUUAACCUCCAUUGACAGAAUGUCAUACUCGUACCUUGAAAACUGGAUAUUAAGAAUUAAUGAAUUAAAGAAACACCGAAAACUGCGCGGCAACUUUUUAGUUGCCAGCUGUAACUUAUGUUACGGCAAAUGAUUUAAAUUGCUUUUGUAAUUUAUUAGGGUUAAGUUAUAAAGGGCGC
RNAcentral lists this transfer RNA (425 nucleotides) under Companilactobacillus alimentarius. RNAcentral's name for it is "Lactobacillus alimentarius 16S-23S ribosomal RNA large intergenic spacer". The stretch from base 84 to 158 matches the Rfam family "tRNA". Lineage: Bacteria; Bacillati; Bacillota; Bacilli; Lactobacillales; Lactobacillaceae. The record is from RNAcentral.